Cercocebus atys (sooty mangabey) is the source of this 156-nucleotide long non-coding RNA. RefSeq lists it as uncharacterized. The transcript has 3 exons. The record is from RefSeq and is a predicted model, not a curated record. NCBI's taxonomy places the organism in Eukaryota, Metazoa, Chordata, Mammalia, Primates, Cercopithecidae.
GAUCCGCCUGCCUUGACCUCCCAAAGUGCCGGGAUUACAGGUGUGAGCCACCGCACCUGGCCUAAAAAGUAAGCUUCUUAUAAGGACUCAGCAGGAGGCAUGCUUAGUGAAGCUAAUGAUAGCCAGUAUCCCUGCAAUGGGAGAUAAACCACCACU